RNAcentral lists this transfer RNA (67 nucleotides) under Marmota monax (woodchuck). RNAcentral's name for it is "tRNA.Ala". The record is from RNAcentral. Lineage: Eukaryota; Metazoa; Chordata; Mammalia; Rodentia; Sciuridae.
GGUUGUGGCUCAGAGGUAGAGCUCUUGCCUAGCACUUGGGAAGCCCCGAGUUCGAUCCUCAGCACCA